AUGAAUGUUGGUCUGAACUUCACCAAGUCAUCAUCCACACUAGUCAGUGCAUUUUCUGAUUCUGAUUGGGCAGGAUGUGUUGAUGAGAGACGUUCUACUGGUGGGUUUGCUAUAUUUUUUGGACCUAACUUAAUAUCAUGGUGUGCAAAGAAACAGGCUACAGUCUCUAGAUCAAGCACAGAGGCAGAAUACAAGGCGUUGGCAAAUGCAACAGCAGAGAUUAUUUGGGACCAAUCACUGAUGAGAGAACUUGGUGUCAGGAGCACUCAAACUCCAUGCUUAUGGUGUGACAAUCUUGGUGCCACAUACUUGUCUGCAAAUCCAGUUUUUCAUGCUAGAACAAAGCAUAUUGAGAUAGAUUUUCACUUUGUCAGAGAGAGAGUUGCAAGCAGACAGUUGGAGAUUCGGUUUGUGCAUUCUCGAGAUCAAGUUGCGGAUGGGUUCACCAAGGCAUUGCCUACAAAGAAUUUCGAAGAGUUUAAACGUAAUCUCAACUUGACGAAGUUGUGA
RNAcentral lists this ribosomal RNA (510 nucleotides) under Triticum aestivum (bread wheat). Its description in RNAcentral is "partial small subunit ribosomal RNA". The record is from RNAcentral. Lineage: Eukaryota; Viridiplantae; Streptophyta; Magnoliopsida; Poales; Poaceae.